This 404-nucleotide ribosomal RNA is filed under the name uncultured bacterium. RNAcentral describes it as "partial 16S ribosomal RNA". It matches the Rfam family "Bacterial small subunit ribosomal RNA", at positions 28 to 526 of the family's 1533-position model. The record is from RNAcentral.
GACGAACGCUGGCGGCGUGCUUAACACAUGCAAGUCGAACAGUGGCGAACGGGUGAGUAACACGUGAGUAACCUGCCCUCCACUUUGGGAUAACUCCGAGAAAUCGGGGCUAAUACUGGAGAGUGGGGGAUGGGCGCGGGGCCUAUCAGUUUGUUGGUGAGGUAGUGGUCACCAAGGCGUGACGGGUAGCCGGACUGAGAGGGCGACCGGCCACAGUGGGACUGGGGAACGGCCCAGACUCCUUCGGGGGGCAGGAGUGGGGAAUAGUGCACAAUGGGCGAAAGCCGUAUGCAGCGACGCCGCGUGGGGGAUGACGGCCUUCGGGUUGUAAACCUCUUUCAGCAAGGAAGCGGUACUUGCAGAAGAAGCGCCGGCUAACUACGUGCCAGCAGCCGCGGUAAUAC